Molecule: ribosomal RNA, 402 nt
Filed under: uncultured Allobosea sp.
Lineage: Bacteria; Pseudomonadati; Pseudomonadota; Alphaproteobacteria; Hyphomicrobiales; Alloboseaceae
Description: bacterial SSU rRNA
Rfam family: Bacterial small subunit ribosomal RNA
Source: RNAcentral
UGGGGAAUAUUGGACAAUGGGCGAAAGCCUGAUCCAGCCAUGCCGCGUGAGUGAUGAAGGCCCUAGGGUUGUAAAGCUCUUUUGUGCGGGAAGAUAAUGACGGUACCGCAAGAAUAAGCCCCGGCUAACUUCGUGCCAGCAGCCGCGGUAAUACGAAGGGGGCUAGCGUUGCUCGGAAUCACUGGGCGUAAAGGGUGCGUAGGCGGGUUCUUAAGUCAGAGGUGAAAUCCUGGAGCUCAACUCCAGAACUGCCUUUGAUACUGAGAGGCUUGAGUAUGACAGAGGUGAGUGGAACUGCGAGUGUAGAGGUGAAAUUCGUAGAUAUUCGCAAGAACACCAGUGGCGAAGGCGGCUCACUGGGUCAUUACUGACGCUGAGGCACGAAAGCGUGGGGAGCAAACA